UUUAUUUCAGACCCAGACUCUUUUCAAGACUACAUUAAGUCCUAUUUGGAACAAGCAAGUCGGAUCUGGUCAUGGCUCCUUGGGGCGGCCAUGGUAGGGGCCGUCCUCACUGCCCUGCUGGCAGGGCUUGUGAGCUUGCUGUGUCGUCACAAGAGAAAGCAGCUUCCUGAAGAAAAGCAGCCACUCCUCAUGGAGAAAGAGGAUUACCACAGCUUGUAUCAGAGCCA
Molecule: long non-coding RNA, 227 nt
Filed under: Homo sapiens (human)
Lineage: Eukaryota; Metazoa; Chordata; Mammalia; Primates; Hominidae
Description: non-protein coding lnc-FOLH1-2:1
Source: RNAcentral